GUAAAGUCGUAACAAGGUUUCCGUAGGUGAACCUGCGGAAGGAUCAUUAUUGAAAUUACCGGUGAGGGUUGUAGCUGGCCUUUCGGGGCAUGUGCACGCUCGAGCCUUCAAUCCAACACACACCUGUGAACCCAAUGUAAGGGCCCGUAAAAAAGGCCCCUACGUCUUUAUCACCAACUCUGUAUUCAUAGAAUGUAAUCCAUAUCUUCGCCUUAACAAGCGUUGGUAAACUUAUACAACUUUCAACAACGGAUCUCUUGGCUCUCGCAUCGAUGAAGAACGCAGCGAAAUGCGAUAAGUAAUGUGAAUUGCAGAUUUUCAGUGAAUCAUCGAAUCUUUGAACGCACCUUGCNCCCCUUGGUAUUCCGAGGGGCAUGCCUGUUUGAGUGUCAUUAAAUUCUCAACUCUGAUUUGAUUUGUUUCUAAUCGGAGCUUGGACUUGGAGCGUGCUGGCAUCUAGUCGGCUCCUCUCAAAUGCAUCAGCGGAAUCUAACCUUUGGUUUCCGGACGUCGGUGUGAUAAUAAAGUUGCGCCGUCAUUCGACUUCAAAGUCCGCUUAUAAUGGUCUUCGGACGAACUCUUAUAUCAAAUUUGACCUCAAAUCAGGUAGGACUACCCGCUGAACUUAAGC
RNAcentral lists this ribosomal RNA (631 nucleotides) under uncultured fungus. Its description in RNAcentral is "eukaryotic LSU rRNA". The stretch from base 238 to 392 matches the Rfam family "5.8S ribosomal RNA". The record is from RNAcentral. Lineage: Eukaryota; Fungi.